Molecule: non-coding RNA, 79 nt
Organism: Myotis davidii
Lineage: Eukaryota; Metazoa; Chordata; Mammalia; Chiroptera; Vespertilionidae
Source: Rfam
GGCGGUUCUCGGGUGAGAACCGGGCUGGGGAAUCGGGCUCCCUCUUCUCUGGUUCUGGGUGCAUCACCCAAGAACUGCA